GACUCAGUAGUUGAGGGGUACAAUUUCCGCCUGCCAAUUUCUUUCUCUCCCAGUGCCGCAACGACACCCAGUGCGCGGGAGGCCCGGGUUCAAAUCCCGGCUGAGUCA
Salpingoeca sp. is the source of this 108-nucleotide transfer RNA. It matches the Rfam family "tRNA". Rfam says of the family: Transfer RNA (tRNA) molecules are approximately 80 nucleotides in length. The record is from Rfam. NCBI's taxonomy places the organism in Eukaryota, Choanoflagellata, Craspedida, Salpingoecidae.